Long non-coding RNA from Brassica napus (rape), 1271 nucleotides. RefSeq lists it as uncharacterized. Lineage: Eukaryota; Viridiplantae; Streptophyta; Magnoliopsida; Brassicales; Brassicaceae. The transcript is spliced from 3 exons. The record is from RefSeq and is a predicted model, not a curated record.
UUUUUAUAAUUACAGCCCAAAAUCAAUCAGACCUUUUGUCUUCAUCUCUUUACGCCGCUAGGGUUCGUGUUCUUCGAAUAAGCUAACUCUAAGAAAAAUCAGAAGCGUUCCCACACACCUGGUGUUUUGAGGAAUUUUGCUGAAUGAAAUCGAGAUGAAGAAUCUCUUUGUUUAUCUCCACUCGCGUCGUGUACUCUUCUAUUCUACUAAACCGAAGCCGUCCCUUCUGAAGAACAAGAAGUAUUUUUCUCGACAAAUCUGACUCUGCAUUGUCUCGAUCGAUGUUCCAUCCCCUCGCUCCGAUACCGUCGUUUGUUGCAUUCAAAAAUACUCAUUUAGGCUAGCUUUUAACACCACUGACCCACGUCUCCCAGACCUAUAAAUAAGGGUUCUCGGUCUGCUAGAUUCACCAGAUUCUCCUUUUGGCAUCAUUGGAAUCCUUAGAAAAUCUCGCACCAGGAAUGGCUGUCCCAACGAUUUUACUCGCCAACUUCAAAGCUGGAAGCCAUUCCAACACCGUCAGAGUCCGAUUGUUUAGAUUCUGGGAAGUCUGAAACUUUAAGAAAUGCGGCAAACUCAUGGCUUAAGUGUCUCAUGGGUGUCGACAUGCUCCUCAGGUCAAACUUGGAGAGCUAGAAGAUUUUGAAAUCAAUGCUAUUAAUGACAAGCUGCAUCGCUCACAAGCUCCUUCUUGACAAGGCUGGUGAUCUUUUUGCUUCAGCCUUUAAAAGUGUUACCACUCAACAGAGGUAGAUAGAAUCAUAACAAGUGGGUGAAGACGACCUCGAGGCUCUUUCUGUAGGAAGUACGAGACUUGCGACCGUUUUACCUUUUUAAGUUGUGUUUUCUGCAAAUGGCGUACAAGCUGUCCUUCCUAACAUGAGAAUUCUAUUGAUCCAACAAAGCAAGUAAAGCUUGGAUUCGGUACUAGGCUGGAGCCUCGCAAAAAGUCUAUGGUGUUCAAGAGGAUCAUAUUUUGUGCAACUAGGGCAACAUCUUAAUACAACAGUUUUUCAUUGAGGAGUUUGUUGUUGAUCCCAACUCUGGGGAGAAGGUUAACUUCUUAUUUUCUACUCUUAGCUUUUUACACAUUAAAAGUGCAGCCUUUUUCUAUUUGCAGGAGUUUUACUGCUUUCUUAAUGUAUAUUUUUUUCUCCCCAUAGGCUCAUGCAAGUAUAAAUUCUAUAUGUAGUUUAUACGUUCUCAUCUGCAUAUGUUUAUAUUUGAUGUUGGUACUGCCUCCAUGGUUAAUAUAUUUUGUUUUGUUGAUC